This 73-nucleotide transfer RNA is filed under the name Pteropus alecto (black flying fox). It matches the Rfam family "tRNA". From Rfam's summary of the family: Transfer RNA (tRNA) molecules are approximately 80 nucleotides in length. Their secondary structure includes four short double-helical elements and three loops (D, anti-codon, and T loops). RNAcentral also lists the same sequence under 1 other name. The record is from Rfam by way of RNAcentral. Lineage: Eukaryota; Metazoa; Chordata; Mammalia; Chiroptera; Pteropodidae.
AGUUCCACAGUGUAGUGGUUAGCAUAUAUGCUUUACACGCAGAAGGUCCUGGGUUCGUGCCCCAGUGGAGCCA